AUAUCUUAAGAAGAAGAAGAAAUUAGCUACAAAAUUCUAUCUUUAGAGUACAAGUCUGAAUCUAUACUCCUCCUAAAGAAGAAUUCUCUCCUUGAUUCAGAGACUGAAAUGAUUAAUCGCAAUAAUGAAUUAACAAGCUAAACCCAAUGAGCAUUAGGCACUUAGAGAUAAAAGGGGGGUCCACGAGUCAUUCGAGAAGCUGUGGUGCCAACCUAAAAUUGGAUAAUUUGGUAAAAGUGGGCCCAAAACUUAAAAUCCACAAAUUUUUAUUUAAUUUUCUUUUGGAAAAAAAAAGGUUUAUAUUUUAUAUUUUAUUGAAAAAAAAAAAGGAAAAGGAAACGAGUGAGAGAAAAAGAAAGGAGAGCCUUAAGGUUACGGAUUUCUGGGUAAAACAAGUUAUGUGGUGCAGCCACUUCAACCAUCACCACUAGCUUUCAAAAAAAUGUAGUGAGAAGAAAGAUCGAUAGGGACUUGCAAUUGAUUUUUAGCCACCAAUUUCAAUAUCUGCCCUUGACCCCACUCUAAUUGUUUCAAGGCCAUUACUUUAGUUUUUUUGCCUUUUUUCUUUUCUUUUUUUUUAAUUUUCUCCUCAUUACUUUCAUGUCUCUCUUGAAGUUUCUCCUCUCCUCCUUGAGAAGAACGAAGAGUCCUUAUGUGUGGUAUAUUUAAAAUCCAAGUGAGUGAUUCUUACUUGCAAAUUCCAAGUGAAUUAUCAUGUGUAACCCCAAAUAUAUCAUGGAUAAAAAAAUAAAAAAUAAAAUAAAAAUAUUGAAACCUUUAUCCAAAACAUAUGGUAGAUAUGGAAACAACAGAAUCGGAAUCUUCAAUGGCUUCAUCUGCGUGAACAGUAGCUUUUACUUUUUAGGGAUCAAAAUAUAAGAUAAUUAUUUUAAAGGCUAAUAUCUGAUGUGUCAAUUGUCAUCUAUGAAAUGAAUGAUAGUGGCUAUAGUUAUUUCUUUUACCACCCCAUAAAGGCAUUAAGAAAAAUACAAGGCCUCCACUACACUUAUGUUGACCCUUGAUUGAGUUUGUCAAGCCCAAUACUAAGCCCAACGCCUGAAGUUGGACAGCACUCUAAUCGGAUGGCUUGUGUAAACAGGCUUCACAUUUGUGGCCCAUGAGGAUGUACUCUUUGAUGGGAGAUGAGUAUUUGAAUUUAGGCUUUGAAUAAAUAAAAAUAAAAUCGACUUUCUAGAGGGCUUUGAAUAGAAAUUUUUUUAUAGUUUGUAGCAUGGAAUUCAAUGUCUACUUAAAGGCCAUAUAUUAAUUAUGUCAACCAGAAGUUAUUAAAAAAAUUAACACAGCCAUGAUUGAUUAUUGAAGUGGGCGGUUGUGUUGAUAAAGGAUUGUAUAUUGUUGAUACAUGGAUAACUUGUUUGACAAUUGAGUUUCUUGGUGGUGGAAGGGAGGAUCAUAAAAUUGUAUUUAAUUUUUUUACUUGUUUGUGAUAUGGAGAGUUGUUUAGACAAUUUUUUUAGUCAAAGAGGAUAUAUUAUUAAUUAGUUGGAGAUUAUUUGAUUAGUAUUUUUUUUUUUUUUUGUGGAUAUAGAAGUUCACAUUUUUAUAAAAGGCAGAUUUUAGCCAGUUAUAUGCAAUCAGGUACAAAAUAAUAAAAAAAUCACAAAAUAUAAUACAAUAUUUUAAUUGUGUCUUUGCAGCACGUCACAGACAAAGUUCACAAUUUUUUUUUUUGUUUUGUAAUUAGUUACUGACAACUAAUUGAAACGAACAUUUUACAAAAUGCAGAUGUCUACACCUAUAAAUGAUUAUUGAUUUGUAAUUUAUUUUUUGAAAUUAAAAUCCAACUAUUAAAGCUCGGGUGCAUAAAAAAGAUUAGAUCUAUUAAUUUGAUUAAUCAAGCACUCUCGGAUGGAAACAUAUAUUUAUACUUUCUUUUUUCUUUAAUCAUUUAGGAGUGUUGGUUGAGACGUCCCUUUGGUCAUACAGUGUAAAGCUUUGAAAUUUUAAUCAUGCUUACCUUAAUUGUUUGUCAAAAGGCUUGAAACUUUUGAGGAAUGAGAAGAAAACAAAAGGGUAUAAGUCACAAGUCUUAAAUUAAAUGUUAUCAUUAGAUAUAUUGACUAACAUUUUCAGAAACAAUGUAUGGCAUAAGGAAUUUUUUGGGUGAGUAUUUAAAAAAUGAAGCCACGCUAUUAAUAAGGGAAAUCAAGAUAACUAAUAGAAGAACUCAAUUAAGAUGUUUAAGGGUUAAGAGAGGAAAGAAGAAAAAGAAAAUUAUAAUAAUUUCAUAAAUUUACACUCGACCAAAGCAUAAUUAAGAUCUCCAAUUUUUUUUACCAAUAUUAAUUUGUGGCAUAUCAUGAAUUAGAAUUGCUUUAAAUAUGAUCAUUAUAGAAACUUUGAAAAGAAUAUUCACCCACUUCCUUUGUACUUAAUAAUGGGCUUGAUAUUGAUCAUCUGUGGGACCUUUGUCACUAUAGUUUAUAACUAUAAUAUAAUAUGUCACUACUUUUCACCGCUCAAAGUCAUCUUUCAAGAAAUGCAAGGGUAAUGAUAGCAUAGAAUUAUGUAAAAUAUAAUUGGGGUAUCUUCGGGGUUAAUUUCGGUUUAUCCUUGAUAAAUUGAAUAUGUUCAAAUUA
RNAcentral lists this long non-coding RNA (2600 nucleotides) under Citrus x clementina. RNAcentral describes it as "Citrus clementina (C. clementina) long non-coding RNA (CCLE_LNC000833)". Lineage: Eukaryota; Viridiplantae; Streptophyta; Magnoliopsida; Sapindales; Rutaceae. The record is from RNAcentral.